Molecule: ribosomal RNA, 468 nt
Filed under: uncultured bacterium
Lineage: Bacteria
Description: partial 16S ribosomal RNA
Rfam family: Bacterial small subunit ribosomal RNA
Source: RNAcentral
GACGAACGCUGGCGGCGUGCUUAACACAUGCAAGUCGAACGGAAAGGCCCUGCUUUUGUGGGGUGCUCGAGUGGCGAACGGGUGAGUAACACGUGAGUAACCUGCCCUUGACUUUGGGAUACCUUAAGGAAACUGGGGCUAUUACCGGAUAGGAGCUCUUGCUGCAUGGUGGGGGUGGGAAAGUUUCGGCGUUUGGGGAUGGACUCGCGGCUUAUGAGCUUGUUGGUGGGGUAGUGGCUUACCAAGGCUUUGACGGGUAGCCGGCCUGAGAGGGUGACCGGCCACAUUGGGACUGAGAUGCGGCCCAGACUCCUACGGGGGGCAGCAGUGGGGAAUAUUGCACAAUGGGCGGAAGCCUGAUGCAGCAACGCCGCGUGCGGGAUGACGGCCUUCGGGUUGUAAACCGCUUUCGCCUGUGACGAAGCGUGAGUGACGGUAAUGGGUAAAGAAGCACCGGCUAACUACGUG